This 252-nucleotide ribosomal RNA is filed under the name uncultured bacterium. Its description in RNAcentral is "partial 16S ribosomal RNA". It matches the Rfam family "Bacterial small subunit ribosomal RNA", at positions 524 to 776 of the family's 1533-position model. The record is from RNAcentral.
UACGAAGGGGGCUAGCGUUGCUCGGAAUUACUGGGCGUAAAGCGCACGUAGGCGGCUUCUUAAGUCGGUGGUGAAAUCCUGGAGCUCAACUCCAGAACUGCCUUCGAUACUGGGAGCUCGAGUCCGGGAGAGGUGAGUGGAACUGCGAGUGUAGAGGUGAAAUUCGUAGAUAUUCGCAAGAACACCAGUGGCGAAGGCGGCUCACUGGCCCGGUACUGACGCUGAUGAGCGAAAGCCAGGGGAGCAAACGGG